UCCGCCCGGGUACUACGAGCUUAGCUUAAAACCCAAAGGACUUGGCGGUGCCCUAUUCCAUCUAGAGGAGCCUGUUCUUUAAUCGAUAAUCCACGAUUCACCUUACCAUUUCUUGCCAAACAGCCUAUAUACCGCCGUCGUAAACUUACCCUUUGAAGGAAUCAUAGAAAGUUUAAAGGUACCCGCCAAAACGUCAGGUCCACGUGUAGCAAAUGAAAUGGGAAGAAAUGGGCUACAUUUUCUAUAAUAGACCAAACGGAUAAUCAAUAUGAAAUCUGAUCAUGAAGGAGGAUUUAGUAGUAAAAAGAAAUCAUCAUAUUCUUUUUAACAUGGCCCUGGGGCGCGCACACACCGCCCGUCACCCUCUUCGACUAUAAUCAAUUUUAUACUUAAUAAACUAUUUUAAAACUAGAAGAGGUAAGUCGUAACAUGGUAAGUAUACCGGAAGGUGUACUUGGA
RNAcentral lists this ribosomal RNA (459 nucleotides) under Leptobrachium smithi (Smith's litter frog). Its description in RNAcentral is "partial 12S rRNA". It matches the Rfam family "Bacterial small subunit ribosomal RNA", at positions 868 to 1522 of the family's 1533-position model. Lineage: Eukaryota; Metazoa; Chordata; Amphibia; Anura; Megophryidae. The record is from RNAcentral.